RNAcentral lists this ribosomal RNA (402 nucleotides) under bacterium. RNAcentral describes it as "partial 16S ribosomal RNA". It matches the Rfam family "Bacterial small subunit ribosomal RNA", at positions 355 to 776 of the family's 1533-position model. The record is from RNAcentral.
UGGGGAAUUUUGCACAACGGGGGAAACCCUGAUGCAGCGACGCCGCGUGAUUUAGAAGGCCUUCGGGUUGUAAAAAUCUUUUCUAUGGGAAGAAAAUGACAGUACCAUAGGAAUAAGGACCGGCUAAUUACGUGCCAGCAGCCGCGGUAAUACGUAAGGUCCGAGCGUUGUCCGGAAUCAUUGGGCGUAAAGGGUACGUAGGCGGGUAAGCAAGUUAGAAGUGAAAUCCUAUAGCUCAACUAUAGUAAGCUUUUAAAACUGCUCAUCUUGAGGUAUGGAAGGGAAAGUGGAAUUCCUAGUGUAGCGGUGAAAUGCGCAGAUAUUAGGAGGAAUACCGGUGGCGAAGGCGACUUUCUGGCCAUAACCUGACGCUGAGGUACGAAAGCGUGGGUAGCAAACAGG